Long non-coding RNA from Melopsittacus undulatus (budgerigar), 2850 nucleotides. RefSeq lists it as uncharacterized. The transcript has 3 exons. Lineage: Eukaryota; Metazoa; Chordata; Aves; Psittaciformes; Psittaculidae. The record is from RefSeq and is a predicted model, not a curated record.
UGUGUGACUCGGGGCGGUGUGUCUGCCUGUGGCGGGGUGGGGGGGGAAUGUGGCUGUUUUACGGAGCCUUUGCAAACCCUAACCCCGGCACGCAGACCCAGCCGAAAAGCCAGCUACAGAAAUGACCAAAGCUGCCAGAGAAGCACCUUAUACAAAAGCAAGACUGUCUAGAGAAGAGACAAAGCUCAGUGUUCCAGGUUCUUAUCUUUCAAAGGCUUAUGACAGGAGUCCAUAAUAACCUGUGUCAUUUGGAAAUAGUUAACCUGAGGAUCCCACCUGUUUUCCAUGGCAAAAUGACCCCAGAUGUAUUUUUAUUAAGGACACAAAGGAUUCAGAAGCCUGCAAAUUUUCUUCAAGAAACAUAAUACUCCAAUUUGCAUAUCUAAUAGAAGUAAACAGUAACUGUAUAUACAUGUUAUUUUCCUUGCACAGAUGACAGCUAGAGGAGAGCUGAAUUCCAGGUUCAGACACCUAAAUCUGGUUGUCUACAAUGCAAACAUUUACAUUUAAGCUAGAAGUUUAAGCUCCCAUUAUGUUUACUUGUUUAAAAUUAAGUUUCUGGUGCUAUUACAGAUGUCUUGGGCUAAGAAAUUGUUGUGGGGCUGGACAUACAUGUCAGGACAUACAUGAAGCCCUGUACUCUCUGGAAGGGCAGAUGAAGGCCAGACAACAUAGCCCAGAGUACUUGACAAAGAUAACUAAACUCAGUCCUAGUAAAUGCUUCUAGAGAAGUUUGAUGAUCAGACAUACAGGUCUACUUUUGAAUAAACUGAACUGCUCUCUUGCCUGCACUGACCAUGUUCAUUUGGAUUCCACUGACUCCAAUCAAAACCUAAACACAGCCCACAUGUAGACAACUAAUUUUAGGAGACUGCAUCCAACACUGAGACCUACUCCUGAUAUCCUAGUUGCCAUAAUAUAUGCUGCUAUUACAGUAAUCAGUGUGCUUCUGGUUCAACCAGGGUUAAACUACCUUGUCCAUUUUGCGCGGUAUGGUGGUUUCAUUUAAAUGGUGGUGGGCAGGACAGCAAGAGUAAUGGGCAGGUGUGAUUACAUGGGUGAUGUAUCGCUUUGUGUUUUGCUUCAGUGAGUUCUUUGAGAUCCAUAUGGACAAUGUUUAGCUAAAGCUGCUACCUUGCUCCCUAGCUAGAGGAAUCUCUGGCUACUGGUGUUGGUUUUUCCCCUUGCUUAGGAGAAUUGAAGCUUUGCCUCCUUUUCCUGCUCUCCUUUUUCCCUGUCCCUGUUCCCUGACAGAACAUCUAGCAUACUGUCAUGGUGCUCUUUUCAGAGCUGUAUGUUUUUUGGGCAUGGUCAGCUUUGUAAGAAAGACUGCACCAACUCUGUUGUUAGAGCCUUUUGGCUGGAGCCCUCUAAUCCUAGAAGUCACUCCUGAGUAUCUCUGGCUAUAGAGACACAAUUCAGGAUGUUGCCAAAAUACUGUGACCAUUUUAGGAAGUAGGUAGGAACAAAAGCAUGUGCAGACUUGGAAGUUCAUUAAUAAUCAUGGCCAGUUGGGCCCUCUAUCCUGAUCUUGCAUUAGUGCUAAAAAGGUAAGCUAAGAAAUGAUCCAGGACCAAGUUCUUUGCUGCUACAAAUCAUGAUUUUGGUUUGCUCUGGCAGUUAUCUUGGUUGAGAUCAAACCUCAAGCGUUACUUCAGAUAAUGUAUACAAUUAUUAGCAUAAGUUUUCCUUAUGUAUACAAUUAUUAGCAUAUGUUUUCCUUAUUUGUGUGUGGAAACUCCCAACCUCACUUCUGGAAGCCAUGGCUUUGAACAGCAUACAACAAACCAGCACUAUUUAAGCUACAGUCUCAGGGCAGUUAACUGGAGGGGCUGAAAGAGUCUGUGCCUGGGAAAAGGACCUCUCAAAGUAGUUUCUCUUCAAGUGAACUGACUCAGAUCUGUCAGGAACGAACCUCUGCUUUUAUUGUAUUUCCUGUUUCAUUUGUAUGCUGCUUACUUAAGGGUGUGGAUAUGGUGUUUGCUUCCAAAAGGAGAGUUAAUGCAUGUGCAAAAUGACUACUGUAGAUUGAAGGUCUUGGUCGCAGCUGGAUUACACAAGACAAACUUCGAUCUUCAGGAUCAUGGUGCUCCCUAAUUCUGUUUCUUCAGGUCUUUAAUUUCCUGGCAUUGCAAUUGCCUUAAAUCCAUUUUGGCACAGAAUACACCAUUAUUUCAUAUUGUGCUAUUGUACUUUCCUGCUUUCAUCCAUAUGAGCCAGGAGUAAAUAAGAGUUGGCAACUUCAUACUUGACUAUUAUAUAGCAGAGUACACUUUAAUCAGCACCCUAAUAAAUAGCACGCCCAAUUAAUUGGGACAUUUGCCAACAAACCAGUUCACUUCCCUGCACUUCAGUGGCUGUAAAUGAUGGAUAACUAGCAUGCUCACUGUUGUCUGCAAGCAUAUUUGUUGUAAUUAACAGGUAUGAUUUGGUGUUCGCUGGCAUGUGUUUCCUCAGUAGCACUCUGCUCAUUUUUGAGUAGGCUCCCUGUUCCAAUGCAGCUGCUAAAAAUAAAUAAAAAGACAAUUUUCCCUUGCUUUAAUCAAUGUAGUGCUUUUCUAUAAAAAAACCCUAUGUAUUUUUAUGUAUUAAAUUUCUAUAUGGUUUUGACAAUAAAAGUCAUAAUUUAAUUAGCACGUUUCUAUUUUAAAUAGUACAGCAAACAGAGCUUUGCCAUACCAUAGGACAAUUUAUAAUAAAGGGAAGGCUUUCUGCUGCAGCUUUCUAACAGUACCUUUUCUAACAGGGAUUGCAUGGUGGAUUGCUUUAAAGUGGUAUUUCCUUGAGGGAGAUACACAGAAAUACAAUCUAUUUUCUGAAACUGGCAUAUGCUAUUAUUUACUGUAUGCA